RNAcentral lists this small RNA (117 nucleotides) under Pongo abelii (Sumatran orangutan). RNAcentral describes it as "Metazoan signal recognition particle RNA (ENSPPYG00000030575.1)". Lineage: Eukaryota; Metazoa; Chordata; Mammalia; Primates; Hominidae. The record is from Rfam by way of RNAcentral.
GCUGGGCGUGGUGGCUCACGCCUGUAAUCCCAGCAUUUUGGGAGGCCGAGGCGGGUGGAUCACCUGAGGUCGGGAGUUUGAGACCAGCCUGACCAACAUGGAGAAACCCUGUCUCUA